RNAcentral lists this ribosomal RNA (661 nucleotides) under uncultured cyanobacterium. Its description in RNAcentral is "bacterial SSU rRNA". It matches the Rfam family "Bacterial small subunit ribosomal RNA", at positions 99 to 794 of the family's 1533-position model. The record is from RNAcentral. Lineage: Bacteria; Bacillati; Cyanobacteriota.
CGGACGGGUGAGUAACGCGUGAGAAAAGACUUCAGGACGGGGAUAACAGAGGGAAACCUCUGCAAAUACCCGAUGUGCCGAAAGGUGAAAGUAAUUCGCCUGAAGAUGAGCUCGCGUCCGAUUAGCUAGUUGGUGGGGUAAGAGCCUACCAAGGCGGCGAUCGGUAGCUGGUCUGAGAGGAUGAGCAGCCACACUGGGACUGAGACACGGCCCAGACUCCUACGGGAGGCAGCAGUGGGGAAUUUUCCGCAAUGGGCGAAAGCCUGACGGAGCAAGACCGCGUGGGGGAAGAAGGCUCUUGGGUUGUCAACCCCUUUUCUCAGGGAAGAAGUUCUGACGGUACCUGAGGAAUAAGCAUCGGCUAACUCCGUUUUUUUUUCCGCGGUAAGACGGAGGAUGCAAGCGUUAUCCGGAAUUAUUGGGCGUAAAGCGUCCGUAGGUGGCUUGUCAAGUCGGCGGUCACAGACCGGGGCUUAACUCCAGAAAGGCCGUGGAAACUGAAAGGCUAGAGAAAGGUAGGGGUAGGGGGAAUUCCCGGUGUAGCGGUGAAAUGCGUAGAGAUCGGGAAGAACACCGGUGGCGAAAGCGCCCUACUGGACCUUAUCUGACACUGAGGGACGAAAGCUAGGGGGAGCGAAAGGGGAUAAGAUACCCCUGUAGU